Molecule: ribosomal RNA, 253 nt
Filed under: uncultured bacterium
Lineage: Bacteria
Description: partial 16S ribosomal RNA
Rfam family: Bacterial small subunit ribosomal RNA
Source: RNAcentral
UACGUAGGGGGCAAGCGUUGUCCGGAUUCAUUGGGCGUAAAGAGCGUGUAGGCGGCCUUACAGGUCAGCUGUGAAAACUCGAGGCUCAACCUCGAGACGUCGGUUGAAACCGUAAGGCUAGAGUCCGGAAGAGGAGAGUAGAAUUCCCGGUGUAGCGGCGAAAUGCGCAGAUAUCGGGAAGAACACCCGUGGCGAAGGCGGCUCUCUGGGACGGUACUGACGCUGAGACGCGAAAGCGUGGGGAGCGAACAGG